RNAcentral lists this long non-coding RNA (303 nucleotides) under Elaeis guineensis (African oil palm). RNAcentral describes it as "long non-coding RNA (EGUI_LNC029789)". The record is from RNAcentral. Lineage: Eukaryota; Viridiplantae; Streptophyta; Magnoliopsida; Arecales; Arecaceae.
UGAGAGCUGAGCUUCUACUACGAGCGCUCUACUUCGAGCUUCUACUACGAGCAGUUCCAGCCGAGCUCCUACGAGAGCCGAGCUUCUACUACGAGCGGUCUUCUCCGAACUCCUGCUACGAGCGGUCUGCUCUGAAUCCCUAUAGCGGGCGAUCUACCUCGGAUCUCUACUAUAAGCAAAUUCCAUUCAGGCCUCUACUGUAAACAGAUUUCUUCCGAACUUUCAUUACAAGUAGACUUCAGUCGAGCUCCUUCGUAGCCGGAUCCCUGACGAGCUUCUACCAGGAGGCAGGAUCCACCGGCC